This 279-nucleotide ribosomal RNA is filed under the name uncultured bacterium. Its description in RNAcentral is "partial 16S ribosomal RNA". It matches the Rfam family "Bacterial small subunit ribosomal RNA", at positions 506 to 784 of the family's 1533-position model. The record is from RNAcentral.
UGCCAGCAGCCGCGGUAAUACGGAGGGUGCGAGCAUUAAUCGGAUUUACUGGGCGUAAAGCGUGCGUAGGCGGUUUGUUAAGUCAGAUGUGAAAGCCCAGGGCUCAACCUUGGAAUUGCAUUUGAUACUGGCAGACUAGAGUUUUGGAGAGGGUAGUGGAAUUCCAGGUGUAGCGGUGAAAUGCGUAGAUAUCUGGAGGAACAUCAGUGGCGAAGGCGACUACCUGGCCAAAAACUGACGCUGAGGUACGAAAGCGUGGGGAGCAAACAGGAUUAGAUA